This 451-nucleotide ribosomal RNA is filed under the name uncultured bacterium. RNAcentral describes it as "partial 16S ribosomal RNA". It matches the Rfam family "Bacterial small subunit ribosomal RNA", at positions 354 to 796 of the family's 1533-position model. The record is from RNAcentral.
GUGGGGAAUAUUGGACAAUGGGGGGAACCCUGAUCCAGCCAUGCCGCGUGUGUGAAGAAGGCCUUUUGGUUGUAAAGCACUUUAAGCGAGGAGGAGGCUACCGAGAUUAAUACUCUUGGAUAGUGGACGUUACUCGCAGAAUAAGCACCGGCUAACUCUGUGCCAGCAGCCGCGGUAAUACAGAGGGUGCGAGCGUUAAUCGGAUUUACUGGGCGUAAAGCGUGCGUAGGCGGCUUUUUAAGUCGGAUGUGAAAUCCCCGAGCUUAACUUGGGAAUUGCAUUCGAGACUGGGAAGCUAGAGUAUGGGAGAGGAUGGUAGAAUUCCAGGUGUAGCGGUGAAAUGCGUAGAGAUCUGGAGGAAUACCGAUGGCGAAGGCAGCCAUCUGGCCUAAUACUGACGCUGAGGUACGAAAGCAUGGGGAGCAAACAGGAUUAGAUACCCUAGUAGUCC